GGAAUCUUAGACAAUGGGCGCAAGCCUGAUCUAGCGAUGCCGCGUGUGUGAUGAAGGUCUUAGGAUCGUAAAGCACUUUCGCCAGGGAUGAUAAUGACAGUACCUGGUAAAGAAACCCCGGCUAACUCCGUGCCAGCAGCCGCGGUAAUACGGAGGGGGUUAGCGUUGUUCGGAAUUACUGGGCGUAAAGCGCGCGUAGGCGGAUAUUUAAGUCGGGGGUGAAAUCCCGGGGCUCAACCCCGGAACUGCCUCCGAUACUGGGUAUCUAGAGUUCGAGAGAGGUGAGUGGAAUUCCGAGUGUAGAGGUGAAAUUCGUAGAUAUUCGGAGGAACACCAGUGGCGAAGGCGGCUCACUGGCUCGAUACUGACGCUGAGGUGCGAAAGCGUGGGGAGC
This 394-nucleotide ribosomal RNA is filed under the name uncultured bacterium. RNAcentral describes it as "bacterial SSU rRNA". It matches the Rfam family "Bacterial small subunit ribosomal RNA", at positions 358 to 769 of the family's 1533-position model. The record is from RNAcentral.